GGCCCCAUCGUCUAGCGGUUUAGGACACGACCCUCUCAAGGUCGAGACCGGAGUUCGAGUCUCCGUGGGGCUA
This 73-nucleotide transfer RNA is filed under the name Treponema sp. Its description in RNAcentral is "tRNA-Glu". It matches the Rfam family "tRNA". Rfam says of the family: Transfer RNA (tRNA) molecules are approximately 80 nucleotides in length. Their secondary structure includes four short double-helical elements and three loops (D, anti-codon, and T loops). The record is from RNAcentral. Lineage: Bacteria; Pseudomonadati; Spirochaetota; Spirochaetia; Treponematales; Treponemataceae.